This 491-nucleotide ribosomal RNA is filed under the name uncultured bacterium. RNAcentral describes it as "partial 16S ribosomal RNA". It matches the Rfam family "Bacterial small subunit ribosomal RNA", at positions 29 to 506 of the family's 1533-position model. The record is from RNAcentral.
AGUGAACGCUGGCGGUAGGCCUAACACAUGCAAGUCGAACGGCAGCACAGUAAGAGCUUGCUCUUACGGGUGGCGAGUGGCGGACGGGUGAGGAAUACAUCGGAAUCUACUUUUUCGUGGGGGAUAACGUAGGGAAACUUACGCUAAUACCGCAUACGACCUACGGGUGAAAGCAGGGGAUCUUCGGACCUUGCGCGAUUGAAUGAGCCGAUGUCGGAUUAGCUAGUUGGCGGGGUAAAGGCCCACCAAGGCGACGAUCCGUAGCUGGUCUGAGAGGAUGAUCAGCCACACUGGAACUGAGACACGGUCCAGACUCCUACGGGAGGCAGCAGUGGGGAAUAUUGGACAAUGGGCGCAAGCCUGAGCCAGCCAUACCGCGUGGGUGAAGAAGGCCUUCGGGUUGUAAAGCCCUUUUGUUGGGAAAGAAAAGCAGCAGGUUAAGACCCCGCUGUUCUGACGGUACCCAAAGAAUAAGCACCGGCUAACUUCGU